GAUGAAGAACGUAGCGAAAUGCGAUAAGUAAUGUGAAUUGCAGAAUUCAGUGAAUCAUCGAAUCUUUGAACGCACCUUGCGCCCUUUGGACAUUCCGAAGGGCAUGCCUGUUUGAGUAUCAUGAACACCUCAACUCUCACGGCUUGUCCGUGAUGAGCUUGGACUUUGGGGGUCUUGCCGGCCUGUGGUCGGCUCCUCUCAAAUGGAUCAGCUUGCCAGUGUUUGGUGGCAUCACAGGUGUGAUAACUAUCUGCGCUUGUGGUUUUCCAUCAGAUAACCUUCAGUGAUAUGGAGGUUCGCUGGAGCUCACAAAUGUCUCUCCUUAGUGAGGACAGCUCUUUGAACGUUUGAUCUCAAAUCAGGUAGGACUACCCGCUGAACUUAAGCAUAUCAAAAGCGGAGGA
This 404-nucleotide unclassified non-coding RNA is filed under the name soil metagenome. RNAcentral describes it as "partial contains 5.8S ribosomal RNA, internal transcribed spacer 2, and large subunit ribosomal RNA". The stretch from base 1 to 121 matches the Rfam family "5.8S ribosomal RNA", at positions 35 to 154 of the family's 154-position model. The record is from RNAcentral.